GAUGAACGCUGGCGGCGUGCCUAACACAUGCAAGUCGAGCGAAGCGCCUUACUUGAUUUCUUCGGGAUGAAAGUAUUGUGACUGAGCGGCGGACGGGUGAGUAACGCGUGGAUAACCUGCCUCAUACAGGGGGAUAACAGUUAGAAAUAGCUGCUAAUACCGCAUAAGCGCACGGCUCCGCAUGGAGCAGUGUGAAAAACUCCGGUGGUAUGAGAUGGACCCGCGUCUGAUUAGCUGGUUGGUGAGGUAACGGCCCACCAAGGCGACGAUCAGUAGCCGACCUGACGAGGGUGACCGGCCACAUUGGGACUGAGACACGGCCCAA
RNAcentral lists this ribosomal RNA (325 nucleotides) under uncultured bacterium. RNAcentral describes it as "bacterial SSU rRNA". It matches the Rfam family "Bacterial small subunit ribosomal RNA", at positions 28 to 334 of the family's 1533-position model. The record is from RNAcentral.